CAGAGUAAGGCUGUGCGCGUUAAGUGCCGCAUCAACGGGGAGUUGUGCUGCGGACGAAGGCGAAGUUUUCCCGCGGUGCACAGCCUGCAUCCCGCUGC
Molecule: non-coding RNA, 98 nt
Filed under: Candidatus Faecalibacterium avium
Lineage: Bacteria; Bacillati; Bacillota; Clostridia; Eubacteriales; Oscillospiraceae
Also listed under: 4 other names
Description: THF riboswitch
Rfam family: THF (Tetrahydrofolate) riboswitch aptamer
About the family: THF riboswitch presents a pseudoknot that joins P1-P2 and the loop of P3 and two THF binding.
Source: RNAcentral